AUAAUAAAAAAAUAAAUAAAAUAUAAUAGAAAAAAAAACUUGGACUUGGACCUCUCUCAUUUGAGCCCACAAAGCCAUGAAAAUCAGGUUAUAAAAGAGGGAGAUCAGACAGAAAAAGGAAGAGAAGCAAAAUACUCUAAGGUUUCCUUGAAACAAAACCCUUGACAAAACCUGGAGAGAAACCUGACAGAGAACUCAGAGCAACCCCCAAGCAGCUCUGAAAAAUUCAAUCUGACUCACACACUUUCAUCUCACACAAACCCUAACAUUGCCUUGCAAACCCAGCCGUGCCAUUU
This 296-nucleotide long non-coding RNA is filed under the name Lathyrus oleraceus (garden pea). RNAcentral's name for it is "Pisum sativum (pea) long non-coding RNA (PSAT_LNC029233)". Lineage: Eukaryota; Viridiplantae; Streptophyta; Magnoliopsida; Fabales; Fabaceae. The record is from RNAcentral.